UACGGAGGGGGCUAGCGUUGUUCGGAAUUACUGGGCGUAAAGCGCACGUAGGCGGCUUUGUAAGUUAGAGGUGAAAGCCCGGGGCUCAACUCCGGAACUGCCUUUAAGACUGCAUCGCUUGAACAUCGGAGAGGUAAGUGGAAUUCCGAGUGUAGAGGUGAAAUUCGUAGAUAUUCGGAAGAACACCAGUGGCGAAGGCGGGUCUCUGGACAGUUCCUGACGCUGAGGCACGAAGGUCAGGGGAGCAAACGGG
RNAcentral lists this ribosomal RNA (253 nucleotides) under uncultured bacterium. Its description in RNAcentral is "partial 16S ribosomal RNA". It matches the Rfam family "Bacterial small subunit ribosomal RNA", at positions 524 to 776 of the family's 1533-position model. The record is from RNAcentral.